GUCGAGAAUCUUUCACAAUGGGGGCAACCCUGAUGGAGCGACGCCGCGUGGAGGAUAAGGUCUUCGGAUUGUAAACUCCUGUCAUGCGUGAACAAGGUUGCUUGGUUAAUACCUGGGCAAAUUGAUAGUACCGGAAGAGGAAGGGACGGCUAACUUCGUGCCAGCAGCCGCGGUAAUACGAAGGUCUCAAGCGUUGUUCGGAAUCACUGGGCGUAAAGGGUGCGUAGGUGGCGUGGCAAGUCAGAUGUGAAAGCCCGGGGCUCAACCUCGGAACUGCAUCCGAUACUGCCAUGCUAGAGUACUGGAGGGGUGACUAGAAUUCUCGGUGUAGCAGUGAAAUGCGUAGAUAUCGAGAGGAAUACCAAAGGCGUAGGCAGGUCACUGGACAGUUACUGACACUGAGGCACGAAGGCCAGGGGAGCGAACGGGAUUAGAUACCCUGGUAGUCC
This 449-nucleotide ribosomal RNA is filed under the name uncultured bacterium. RNAcentral's name for it is "partial 16S ribosomal RNA". It matches the Rfam family "Bacterial small subunit ribosomal RNA", at positions 354 to 796 of the family's 1533-position model. The record is from RNAcentral.